Molecule: long non-coding RNA, 759 nt
Filed under: Marmota monax (woodchuck)
Lineage: Eukaryota; Metazoa; Chordata; Mammalia; Rodentia; Sciuridae
Source: RNAcentral
UAGGUCAUGCCCUCCUUGCUGUGAGAGGGUCCCGCAGAGCCCUCCCGGCCCCAGUCGGCAAGAGUUAGGAGGAAAGGUCUGAAAAUUUCCAUAGAACCAGAAAGACAAGAUCUAGCAUAGGCUGUGCAAAAAUUUCCAUGGAGACGCUGAUGGCAAAACUGCUCCCCAGUCUGCACCCCGCCUGGAUGGGGAAUUAAAGGAGCUUAUUGAGGUUGGAAGGCAAAUUGGCCCCCAGAGGAGACAACACUUAGAUAAUUGCUUUAAAGGCAAAUGCUAGAGCUAGAAUUCUAAUGAGAAGAGGUGACGCCUCGAGACAGCAGGGCGGCUACUAGACAUCCCAGCUCUGCCCUUUGAAGGAAAGCUGCCUGGUCCCCCAGCUGGGGAACCAUGGUAGCUGGCACUCACCUUCCCCUGGGGGUUUAGGAAGUCAUCUUUUGACAGGAAAGCCAGAGAGAGAGGGAGUGCUGCAGAAGGGGCAUUUGUCCCUCCUGUCCCUACUCCUCCUCCGUAGUGCCCUUCCCUAACCCGCAGACUUGACCGGAAUGGGUUUAGGGGAUGCACAUUGAUGAGUUUACAGAAAGUCAGCAAGAGGAUGCCUGGAGGGCUCGGGGAGGUGAGGAAGUUUGAGUUUAGGAGAAAUCAUAGCACCUGGAGCUGAGGACCACAGACACUGCCCAUUUGGAAAGAAGUUUCUUCCCGAGUCCUGAUGGUCUAGAUUCCUCCAGCCCUGUGCAGGAAACCCAAAGGAGCCCAGGUAAG